AUGACAAACCACUCAAGUAUCUUUGCCCAGAAAACCCUAAAUGGGAUCAUGAAGAGUCAGGCACAAUGAGCCAGACUGAAAAGACUCAAGGAAAAGAGUGCCAGAUGUUAAACAAUUGCCAGCUCACCCCUGCUAUGGUCUCUCUAAGAGAUGCAUGUCUUCUCAAUCGUUUGGCAGUAGGUCACAGGAAAUAAGAAAAGAAGCCUUCAGCAAAGACAGCACUGGAGUAGAUAGAGAAGGAGGAAGUUGAAAAAAAGAGGAAGAGAAGGAGGAGGAGGAGGAGUUGG
Phascolarctos cinereus (koala) is the source of this 287-nucleotide non-coding RNA. The record is from RefSeq and is a predicted model, not a curated record. Lineage: Eukaryota; Metazoa; Chordata; Mammalia; Diprotodontia; Phascolarctidae.